Molecule: ribosomal RNA, 292 nt
Filed under: uncultured bacterium
Lineage: Bacteria
Description: partial 16S ribosomal RNA
Rfam family: Bacterial small subunit ribosomal RNA
Source: RNAcentral
GUGUCAGCAGCCGCGGUAAUACGUAGGGUGCGAGCGUUAAUCGGAAUUACUGGGCGUAAAGCGUGCGCAGGCGGUUUUGUAAGUCAGAUGUGAAAGCCCCGGGCUUAACCUGGGAAUGGCGUUUGAAACUACAAGGCUAGAGUGUGUCAGAGGGGGGUAGAAUUCCACGUGUAGCAGUGAAAUGCGUAGAGAUGUGGAGGAAUACCGAUGGCGAAGGCAGCCCCCUGGGAUAACACUGACGCUCAUGCACGAAAGCGUGGGGAGCAAACAGGAUUAGAUACCCUCGUAGUCC